This 68-nucleotide transfer RNA is filed under the name Ammophila sabulosa. RNAcentral describes it as "tRNA-Asp". The record is from RNAcentral. Lineage: Eukaryota; Metazoa; Arthropoda; Insecta; Hymenoptera; Sphecidae. RNAcentral also lists the same sequence under 1 other name.
AAAGAAUUAGUUAAUAAAAAAUAUAACAUUAAUUUGUCAAAUUAAAAUAACCUUGAAAGUAUUCUUUC